CUUUAUAGCAACGUGAAAAGAGACUAAUACAACAAACAAUCUACUUACAAUAGAUCUGAGAAUAAAAUACCUGGGAAUAAAUUUAACCAAGAGGUGAAAGACCUGGACACUGAAAACUACAAAAAAUUGCUGGCAGAAGUUAAAGAGGAACGAAUUAAAUGACUCCUUCAGAAAUGCAACACAGAGGACUCUAGCCCAACGCAUAAUCUACACUCCAAACUGAAGUUUCUCCUUCAAACUUUGUCUGCUUUACCAUCCUGAUGAGCUUGCCUUCACAUUAACUCAAUGACCCAUGUUGCCCUGUUCACCGAAAUCCUGAAACCAACACUGAGGUAGUCCUGGAGCCUGGCUGUGGCUCUGCCCAACUUUCCUGAGCCACCUCCACUCCUUGCUACUACUGGUCACAGUGGAGAGAUACACAGAGGACAACAGGCAAGGAAAAAAGAGAGCUGAAGAUUAUCAUUAUUUCCUCACUCUUUUCAUCAAAGAUAUUAUCUCCUGGUCCUGAAAUAGUACUGCUCCUUGACACCCUCCUGAGAUACCAGACAAUAAAAAAUGUAGAUUUUAAAAAGUAACCAUCACCUUAUGCUUUAUAAUAAGCCACAAUUUUGUGCUGUUCUUAUUCUAUUAAAGACAAUCGCUACAAUAUAUAAACAUGGUUAGAAACCAUGCAAGCAAGAAAAGCAUGUGGUGAAAUAUUUAAAGAAUUGAAAGGAAAAAAAAAUCUACCUAGAAGUUUGUACCCAGUGAAAUUAUCCUCCAAAAGUGAAGGAAAAAUAAAGACUUUAUCAGAAAAAAGAAUUGAUGUAGACCUACCUUGCAAAGAAGGAUUACAAGAAGUUCUUCAGAGAGGAGGAAAAUGGUGUAGGUCAGAAACUUGGGUCUGCAUAAGCAACAGGGAGCAUCAGGAAAGAAGUGCAACGUCUACCUAGAAUAUCUGCUUCUCGCUGCCACAUGUUCCUUCCAUUCCAUUCCAUGAAGUCUACUUAACGAGCCCCUUCAGUAGAGAAGUUCUCAACGAAUCCCUUCUGGAUCCAGGCAUUCUGAUUACUGUAUUAUGACUGUGCACUCUACCCAGGGCAGACUGUCAUCUGAGCCCGGCCUGUCCUGCUGUCUGCUCUCUCCAGAGAGCAUCCUUCAUCCUGAUAAACAGGCUGCGAGCUGGACAUGUGACUGAGCUCCUUAAGAAAACAGAUCCAGAGAACUGCUGCUCUAUUUGUUCUACAAGCAUCUAGUGAAACUUCCAAGCCACUGUGCUGGGUGCUGUAGGGGGAGACAGAGAUGCCCAAGAAAGGAGCACUGGCCUCACAGACCUUUCAGUGAGGCAUGAGAAAGAGUACGUGUGCACCAGUUAUCAAAGAUGGAAACCCAUGUGGAAGGUGAAAACAAGGCUGUGGAAUCUCAGACAUGAGUCUUCAGUCUCCUGCCCUCAGCUUAGCUGGAAGCUGGAUGACAGCCACAUUAAGAGGCUUUCUGCAAGUGGCUUUUGGAUGAAAAGGGGGCCUCUCAGGUACUCCACUCUCACGUUGCAGGCUCUGCAGCAGCUGGUCUAUCUGGUGGCACUGGGAGUAAGUAGUAUGGGAGACCCCUCCAUGCCGGGGUCCCCUGGAGUGUCCUCCUCAUAGCGUGAGGGUUCUUCUCAGGGAUACUGAGGAUAAUUCACAAUGGCUUUGUAGUUGCAAUAUUCUUUUUUUAUUUCUUAAGUUUCUGUGUCCCAAAUUUUAGU
Molecule: long non-coding RNA, 1726 nt
Filed under: Homo sapiens (human)
Lineage: Eukaryota; Metazoa; Chordata; Mammalia; Primates; Hominidae
Description: HSALNT0381447
Source: RNAcentral